GAUGAACGCUAGCUGGAGGCUUAAUACAUGCAAGUCGAGCGGGAUUGGUAGCAAUACCAUGAGAGCGGCGCACGGGUGAGUAACGCGUACACGACCUACCUCUGACAGGGGGAUAGCCCUGGGAAACUGGGAUUAAUACCGCAUAUUAUUCUGAUUAAUAAAGGAUUGGAAUGAAAGUUCAGGCGGUCAGAGAUGGGUGUGCGUCUGAUUAGCUAGUUGGUAGGGUAACGGCCUACCAAGGCGAUGAUCAGUAGGGGGCGUGAGAGCGUGGUCCCCCACACGGGUACUGAGACACGGACCCGACUCCUACGGGAGGCAGCAGUAAGGAAUAUUGGACAAUGGCCGAAAGGCUGAUCCAGCCAUCCAGCGUGCAGGAAGAAGGCCCUAUGGGUUGUAAACUGCUUUUAUCAGGGAAUAAACCUCUGGAUUCACUCCGGAGCUGAAGGUACCUGAAGAAUAAGCACCGGCUAACUCCGUGCCAGCAGCCGCGGUAAAA
Molecule: ribosomal RNA, 496 nt
Filed under: uncultured bacterium
Lineage: Bacteria
Description: bacterial SSU rRNA
Rfam family: Bacterial small subunit ribosomal RNA
Source: RNAcentral